UACGUAGGGUGCGAGCGUUGUCCGGAAUUAUUGGGCGUAAAGCGCGCGCAGGCGGUCCUUUAAGUCUGAUGUGAAAUCCCACGGCUCAACCGUGGAGGGUCAUUGGAAACUGGGGGACUUGAGUACAGAAGAGGAAAGCGGAAUUCCACGUGUAGCGGUGAAAUGCGUAGAGAUGUGGAGGAACACCAGUGGCGAAGGCGGCUUUCUGGUCUGUAACUGACGCUGAGGCGCGAAAGCGUGGGGAGCAAACAGG
RNAcentral lists this ribosomal RNA (253 nucleotides) under uncultured bacterium. RNAcentral's name for it is "partial 16S ribosomal RNA". It matches the Rfam family "Bacterial small subunit ribosomal RNA", at positions 524 to 776 of the family's 1533-position model. The record is from RNAcentral.